RNAcentral lists this small nuclear RNA (125 nucleotides) under Panthera tigris altaica (Amur tiger). RNAcentral's name for it is "U4 spliceosomal RNA (ENSPTIG00000002011.1)". It matches the Rfam family "U4 spliceosomal RNA". Rfam says of the family: U4 small nuclear RNA (U4 snRNA) is a component of the major U2-dependent spliceosome. Lineage: Eukaryota; Metazoa; Chordata; Mammalia; Carnivora; Felidae. The record is from Rfam by way of RNAcentral.
AGCUUUGCACAGUGGCAGUGUCGUAGCCAAUGAGGUUUAUCUGAGGCACGAUUGUUGCUAAUUGAAAAUUCUCCCCCCCCCCCAGAUAUUUAAAUUUAUUUUGAGAGAGAGAGUGCACACAAGCA